This 253-nucleotide ribosomal RNA is filed under the name uncultured bacterium. RNAcentral's name for it is "partial 16S ribosomal RNA". It matches the Rfam family "Bacterial small subunit ribosomal RNA", at positions 524 to 776 of the family's 1533-position model. The record is from RNAcentral.
UACGGGGGGUGCAACCGUUGCUCGGAAUUAUUGGGCGUAAAGCGCACGUAGGCGGUCCUGUAAGUCGGGUGUGAAAGCCCCAGGCUUAACCUGGGAAGUGCACUCGAAACUGUGAAGCUCGAGUAUGGAAGAGGGUCGCGGAAUUCCCGGUGUAGAGGUGAAAUUCGUAGAUAUCGGGAGGAACACCAGUGGCGAAGGCGGCGACCUGGGCCAAUACUGACGCUGAGGUGCGAAAGCGUGGGGAGCAAACAGG